Long non-coding RNA from Haliotis rubra (blacklip abalone), 108 nucleotides. RefSeq lists it as uncharacterized. The record is from RefSeq and is a predicted model, not a curated record. Lineage: Eukaryota; Metazoa; Mollusca; Gastropoda; Lepetellida; Haliotidae. The transcript is spliced from 3 exons.
UGUGAAUGUAACAACUAGCGUAUGAAAUAAGCCAAAAACCAAGCCAGACAUCAAGGCUGGUAACUUCUAAAUGUUACCAGCACAAAAUGGAUUUAACCAUACCAGACA